Long non-coding RNA from Helianthus annuus (common sunflower), 2764 nucleotides. RefSeq lists it as uncharacterized. The transcript has 11 exons. Lineage: Eukaryota; Viridiplantae; Streptophyta; Magnoliopsida; Asterales; Asteraceae. The record is from RefSeq and is a predicted model, not a curated record.
CGACACUUUUAGUGGCAACAGAGCCCUUUAGCGGCGACCUGGGACCAGGAUCCGUGUGUACAUCGAGUUAUUAAAUCUGGCCGUCAAACUGAAAUAGAUCCAAUGGCUUAGCUUUUAUUGUACACUAAAAAAAUAAGCGAGACAUUUUCCCUCCCAUAUCUUUUCCCUCUUUCACCUGACUUUACCUUUUUCACUUCUCAAUACUCAUCCACACGCCCUCAAUCUCUUUCCCCCUUUCACCUUCUUUUCACAUCAGAAUCACGCGAACAACCGGCUCCGAAUUGAACUCCGGCCACCGUUGAAGACCACUGGAACAACCUGCUCGGAUUUGAACCCCAGCCACCGUCGAACAAGCCCUAACCACGUCUGCUCGGGACAAAAAACCCCUAAUCACCAUCUCGAAAUCGGUACGCUCGCAACUGGAUAUGGGUUUUACUCGAGGGCCGAUGACUACUUCUACAAUAAUGCAGGUAUUGAAUGGGAUAUGGGUGCUGUAGCUUGUAGAGAUGGCUUACGAGUGAGUAGAAAACAGUAUCGUAACUCGUCCGGCCCGUUUAAAUAGGUGGCAAACUUCUGUGUUUAAUGCCUUACUCGAAGCAGGAGCUGUUCCUAAUAAUGGGUUCACCUUUGACCACGUUUGAUGAACCAAGGUAAGCCGGACCUCUGAUUUUGUUUAUAUCUUUCUUUUCCAACGUGUUGGUUUUUCGGAAACCGAAGAAAGUUUAUGAUGGUCUAUGGCUGUAUAUGAUGAGCGGGUCGGGUCAGGCAGGGUAACAGGCUAACGGGUCAUAACGAAAUCAGUCAUUUAAAGAAAAUAAUGCAUUUACUUUAACAAUUGAGUAAAAAAUAGUUCAAUUUAGUUUUGGAUGGAAACUGUAUAUGAUUUAUUACUGUCAAUUACAAAUCAAUGAAAAAAAUUAAUGAUUUAGAUGCAUAACGGCUGCGAACGGUCCAUAAACGCAGCGGUUUAACGGCUGCAAACGCAGCGGUUAUCAGCUACGUUUACGGACAGUUCGCAGAUGUUAAACGACUGUGUUUAUGGACGUAUAACGGCUGCGAACAGGCCGUAAACACAACAGUUAACCGCUGCGUUUGCAGCCGAAACUUUAGUGUACUCGUAUCCUCCUUUUAUUCUUUUGCAGGUAAUCUAUAUCUGGGUACACUCAAUGAAGAGAGGCCAGAAACUACCAUCUUCCAACAAGUUAAGUUGCGGCGGGUGCUUUUCGAUACAUAACAGAACUACUGGGUUCAACUUCUUUUAGGGUUUCUUUCUCCGAUGGAAAAAAGAUCCAGAUGAAGAUGGAGCGGUGGAGAUACCAUCGACUUAGAUUUACCUUACCACCGUCGAGCCAGGAAUCCAGUGUUAUUUGCCCAGAGUAUGUUACUCAUGGAAGAAGCUGUUACUUGAUGUUUCCGAGGAAGGGGCCACAGGUUGUCUUACUUAUGAAUGGAAGACUCUAAAUCUGCUCAAAGACAAGUUGGUGAAACAGCAUUGAAUGAUACCCGUUCUCGAUCACAUCAGAUAAUAAGACUGACGAUAGAGAGCACAGUUCGGGAUACUUCAGACCGCGUGAGGUCCAUUGUUUCAAGCCUGGUAUAUUUUGAUAUUUACUUGAAGCAUAUAUGAUACUCAAUGUUGAAUCGUACGUUUGCGAAAUUUGAUCAGCGUUUGUGAAGGAAUUCAUAUCAGCACCACCGCUACUCCCACCACAGACGCUGCAACGUCGUCCGGCGCCCUACAUUCAAGCGACACACCCGCAACCGCCGUCCAACGUUGGGCCUUUGUUAUCUCACAACGCUACCAACACCUGCUGGAGAAGUCAACUCCAUUCUUGCUCUACCGUUGGAUCGUCUUCUGCGUGAUCUCGAUCAUCUACACUGCGCGCGUGCUCUACUUGCAAGGGUUUUAUGUGGUUUGUACGCGGUUGGGAUUUAUAUUCUUAUGCGAUUGGGAUUUAUAUUCUUAAUCUCCUCAUAGGGUUUUUGUCUCCUCGGGUUGAUCCCGAGUUUCAAGACCUAUCUGAUGGCCCGGUUCUUCCUAAUCGGAGCUCCGAUGAGUUUUGCCCCUUUGUUCGUCGCCAUCCCCAGUUUAAGUUUUGCUGUAAAGCAAGCUAAACAUUGUUGUCUGAAAGGAAGCAUGCUUACUUCAGUCUCUAUAAUAAGUCUUUCAUAUUCUUAAUAAGUCUUAUCUCAACCUUUUCAGAAACCAACUCAUCUGUAAAGCAAGCUAAAAACUGUUGUCUGAAAGGGAGCAUGCUUGCUUCAGUCUCUAUAAAUACGACAUCAAGCUCCACACUCUACAAACACUCAACUACACUCAACUAAGACGAAUUAAACUUUCAAACUAAUUCGGCUAAGUUGACUGUCCCGGGUGGAGCAAGUGUGGCUUGCAGCACUGCAAAAGCAAUCGAGUGGGACGCUUCUUGGUCAAACAAUCUUGACCCGUCGGGAAGGGCUGCACUCGGGGUCCAUAAUGCUGCAUACAAGAACUCGGGCUCGAUUAGUUCGGCAAACUUAGCAACAAGCAUCGUUGAAAACGUGCUGCGAAUGAUGGUAAUUACGGGUCCUGAGUUCGUGAUUCGGAGUUAACGGUUUAUGGUUAAUAAAUUAUAUGAGUCGCAACGUGUUUUUAUUAUGUGUUGGUUGUAGUUUGUGUGUGAUAGCAACUUGAUGUAUAACUUGGUUUCUUGGAUAAUGUUGUUUUUCCAGUUGGUUAUGUGCAUUAUAAUCUGCAAAUAAAUAAAUAAUGUUGUGAAGGAUUAUA